CUGUCGUCAGCUCGUGUUGUGAAAUGUUGGGUUAAGUCCCGCAACGAGCGCAACCCUUAUCCUUUGUUGCCAGCGAUUAGGUCGGGAACUCAAAGGAGACUGCCAGUGAUAAACUGGAGGAAGGUGGGGAUGACGUCAAGUCAUCAUGGCCCUUACGACCAGGGCUACACACGUGCUACAAUGGCGCAUACAAAGAGAAGCGACCUCGCGAGAGCAAGCGGACCUCAUAAAGUGCGUCGUAGUCCGGAUUGGAGUCUGCAACUCGACUCCAUGAAGUCGGAAUCGCUAGUAAUCGUGGAUCAGAAUGCCACGGUGAAUACGUUCCCGGGCCUUGUACACACCGCCCGUCACACCAUGGGAGUGGGUUGCAAAAGAAGUAGGUAGCUUAACCUUCGGGAGGGCGCUUACCACUUUGUGAUUCAUGACUGGGGUGAAGUCGUAACAAGGUAACCGUAGGGGAACCUGCGGUUGGAUCACCUCCUUACCUUAAAGAA
RNAcentral lists this ribosomal RNA (494 nucleotides) under Salmonella enterica subsp. enterica. RNAcentral describes it as "bacterial SSU rRNA". It matches the Rfam family "Bacterial small subunit ribosomal RNA", at positions 1049 to 1533 of the family's 1533-position model. Lineage: Bacteria; Pseudomonadati; Pseudomonadota; Gammaproteobacteria; Enterobacterales; Enterobacteriaceae. The record is from RNAcentral.